GACGAAGGAUGCAAGCGUUAUCCGGAUUCAUUGGGUUUAAAGGGUGCGUAGGCGGACUUGUAAGUCAGUGGUGAAAUCUCUCAGCUUAACUGAGAAACUGCCAUUGAUACUGCAGGUCUAGAGUAUAGAUGACGUUGGCGGAAUAUGACAUGUAGUGGUGAAAUACUUAGAUAUGUCAUAGAACACCGAUUGCGAAGGCAGCUAACGAAACUAUAACUGACGCUGAGGCACGAAGUGCGGGGAGUCAAACAGG
This 253-nucleotide ribosomal RNA is filed under the name uncultured bacterium. RNAcentral's name for it is "partial 16S ribosomal RNA". It matches the Rfam family "Bacterial small subunit ribosomal RNA", at positions 524 to 776 of the family's 1533-position model. The record is from RNAcentral.